This 482-nucleotide ribosomal RNA is filed under the name uncultured bacterium. Its description in RNAcentral is "partial 16S ribosomal RNA". It matches the Rfam family "Bacterial small subunit ribosomal RNA", at positions 29 to 507 of the family's 1533-position model. The record is from RNAcentral.
AUUGAACGCUGGCGGCAUGCUUUACACAUGCAAGUCGAACGGUAACAGGCCGCAAGGUGCUGACGAGUGGCGAACGGGUGAGUAAUGCAUCGGAACGUGCCCAGUGGUGGGGGAUAACUCAUCGAAAGGGUAGCUAAUACCGCAUACGAUCUAUGGAGGAAAGCGGGGGACCGAAAGGCCACGCGGGGCGGGGGCGGCCGAUGUCGGAUUAGGGAGUUGGGGGGGGAAGGGCUCACCAAGGCAACGAUCUGUAGCUGGUCUGAGAGGACGACCAGCCACACUGGGACUGAGACACGGCCCAGACUCCUACGGGAGGCAGCAGUGGGGAAUUUUGGACAAUGGGCGCAAGCCUGAUCCAGCAAUGCCGCGUGCAGGAAGAAGGCCUUCGGGUUGUAAACUGCUUUUGUACGGAACGAAACGGCUCUGGUUAAUACCCGGGGCUAAUGACGGUACCGUAAGAAUAAGCACCGGCUAACUACGUG